UCACUAAUUCCUAUUGCGUGUUGCUGCCCAUCCUUUCUUAAUAGUCCUGGAGGGAGUUAGAAUCUCUACCUAUAGGUUGUUCUAGACAUACCCCAUACAGUUUUAAAGGCAAAAAUCUAAGGCGUCGGUCAAAGAAAAGCAUUUAGGAUUCACAUAAAUAGAUAAAUUAAAGGCUUAUAGUUUCCUCCGCAAACAAUCG
Molecule: long non-coding RNA, 199 nt
Filed under: Nicotiana benthamiana
Lineage: Eukaryota; Viridiplantae; Streptophyta; Magnoliopsida; Solanales; Solanaceae
Description: long non-coding RNA (NBEN_LNC033111)
Source: RNAcentral